Ochotona curzoniae (black-lipped pika) is the source of this 782-nucleotide long non-coding RNA. RefSeq lists it as uncharacterized. NCBI's taxonomy places the organism in Eukaryota, Metazoa, Chordata, Mammalia, Lagomorpha, Ochotonidae. The transcript has 4 exons. The record is from RefSeq and is a predicted model, not a curated record.
UAAGAUUCAAUCCUCCAGUUACGUAGGAAUGAUUUUGUGGUAUGCUCAAGAGUUGGCAUCCGUUGCUGCAAAAACCGAAUAUGAUUAUCAGUUCCGUUAAAAGAUCUUCUCAUAUUUGAAUUUCUUUCUGGAAGAUUGGUUUUUCUCUGAGCAAGCCGAUCAGCAAAACUUUGAGCAGAUGACUGGGUUGAAACUGACGGAUUGUAUUUGGACCAUUAAAGUUUGGAACGAAAUGAGGUUGCGUUGGCUGGAAACAGAAGCUAAUGAAGAAACCGAAUGCUGGUAAUUUCCAUUCUCCCAGAGAGAUUUGCCAUGCUUGACCCUUGCUGCUUCAUCCUGAGCAAAUGACCUGGGAACACAGGAUCUUGCAUACAGAGUUCGAAAUUCUUCAUCAAAAGACUCAACAAGUUGUCCUGUAAUUAUCUGAACCAUACUGAGAUCGUCCUGGCAAGGACUACAAGUCAGUCUUAGAGGACAUGUUAAGAGGACAAGUUAAGAGUUUGGCUGUAGUCUCAGAAGUUUUAGCUUCAUAUUCCUCAUAUCGCAAAUGAAGAGCUGAUCGGCAGAAUAGUUGCAAAACCUUAUGUUUCUAAAUUGUUAUAAUAAGCUUUCUGUGCCAAAUCACAUAGUUUAGGCAACUAAACCUUUGGGUUGCUAUCUCUGUGGUUUACUCAAUAAAUGUAAUUUAGCAUGUCAAAAGUGAUAAACAAAGGUUGCCUCAAUCACUAACAGGUGGAUUUCACUGUACUUAAUGUACAAAGGAUAAAUAAAUAUAGUUCUCG